UGAGGAAUAUUGGGCAAUGCCCGCAAGGGUGACCCAGCAACGCCGCGUGGAGGAUGAAUGUCGUAAGAUUGUAAACUCCUGUUAGAGGGGAAGAAUAGUACCGGUUGGACCGGUAUAUGACUGUACCCUCAGAGAAAGCCCCGGCUAACUACGUGCCAGCAGCCGCGGUAAUACGUAGGAGGCAAGCGUUGUCCGGAUUUACUGGGUGUAAAGGGCGCGCAGGCGGGAUAAAAAGUCAGUGGUGAAAUCCUACAGCUUAACUGUAGAACUGCCUUUGAUACUUUUAUUCUUGAGUUCGGGAGAGAGAGACGGAAUUCCAGGUGUAGUGGUGAAAUACGUAGAUAUCUGGAAGAACACCAGUUGCGAAGGCGGUCUCUUGGUCCGACACUGACGCUGAGGCGCGAAAGCGUGGGGAGCAAACA
Molecule: ribosomal RNA, 422 nt
Filed under: uncultured bacterium
Lineage: Bacteria
Description: bacterial SSU rRNA
Rfam family: Bacterial small subunit ribosomal RNA
Source: RNAcentral